AAAAAACAAACUUACGAAAAAGUUCAACUAACAUUGGAUCAAAUAUUAUGAAAAAUCCAUUUGCAACAUUAAAAUCAACAACUAGGGAGUAGUGACCAAAAACAACUUUUUAUGUCGAAGUCAGACAAGAAUACAAUAAGAAUCCGUAAACAAAAAACUCAUCAAGAAAGAAAUCAAAUAACCAUUGCAAGCUUAUACAUUCCAAGUUAAAGUAUUCGCCUAUAAAAUGAAUUCAUGAUCAACAACAUCAUUUUUCAUAUUACCCAUAAAACAACACAGUACCCAUUAUUAGCCUAAAGAAAUAAAAAUUCAUCAAGAAAGAAAACGAAAGGAGCAUUGCAAUUUUAUAUAUCCCAAGUUACUGCAAUCGCCUAAAACUUGAAGUAGUCAGCAACAACAGUUUUUUAAAUUUACGCAUUACCCUUAGGCCGUAACAAGGUAAAUUGUUAUUUAAAAUGUGGAGAUUCUCUUAUUUUCCAUGGGAAGCUAACAUGUGACUAUUUAUGCGAAAAUCAUUCUCCUAGCUACAAACUUGAAAUUAAAGUUGCACAAAAAAAAUCUUAUUUUCAUAUAUUUCAGUGGCACAAAUAUGAAAUUCACCAACAAAAAACUUAAAUUCUAGACUUACACGUUUUUCUUCUGUUUAAUCCAACUUGAAUUCGAAGAUAUAGAUUCUUGAGAAAGAUUCUGUAGAAGACGGCUUCACUAAGGGGUUUUCCCUUUUCAAUUUAGUAGAAGACAGUGGAAAAUUGAAAAUCUUUUGGGGCAUGAGUUAUCUGGGUUUAUAAUGUGGAUCGUCCGGUUCACUCAAAUUUGGUCCAGCGGGUCAACCCGACGGUUCAAAUGGGUGGAUAAUGGGUUAAUUGCAUAUUGAAACAAUUGAGUCACCAG
This 891-nucleotide long non-coding RNA is filed under the name Olea europaea subsp. europaea. Lineage: Eukaryota; Viridiplantae; Streptophyta; Magnoliopsida; Lamiales; Oleaceae. The record is from RNAcentral.